RNAcentral lists this ribosomal RNA (583 nucleotides) under fungal sp. RNAcentral's name for it is "eukaryotic LSU rRNA". The record is from RNAcentral. Lineage: Eukaryota; Fungi.
UUGACCUCGAAUCAGGUAGGAAUACCCGCUGAACUUAAGCAUAUCAAUAAGCGGAGGAAAAGAAACCAACAGGGAUUGCCYCAGUAACGGCGAGUGAAGCGGCAACAGCUCAAAUUUGAAAUCUGGCUCUCGGGCCCGAGUUGUAAUUUGUAGAGGAUGCUUUUGGUGAGGUGCCUUCCGAGUUCCCUGGAACGGGACGCCAUAGAGGGUGAGAGCCCCGUCUGGUUGGACRCCGAWCCUCUGUAAAGCUCCUUCGACGAGUCGAGUAGUUUGGGAAUGCUGCUCUAAAUGGGAGGUAUAUGUCUUCUAAAGCUAAAUACCGGCCAGAGACCGAUAGCGCACAAGUAGAGUGAUCGAAAGAUGAAAAGAACUUUGAAAAGAGAGUUAAACAGUACGUGAAAUUGUUGAAAGGGAAGCGCUUGUGACCAGACUUGGGCUUGGUUGAUCAUCCGGGGUUCUCCCCGGUGCACUCUUCCGGCCCAGGCCAGCAUCAGUUCGCCCUGGGGGACAAAGGCUUCGGGAAYGUGGCUCUCUCCGGGGAGUGUUAUAGCCCGUUGCGUAAUACCCUGUGGCGGACUGAGGU